UGGGGAAUAUUGCACAAUGGGCGCAAGCCUGAUGCAGCAACGCCGCGUGAGGGACGACGGCCUUCGGGUUGUAAACCUCUUUUGGCAGGGAAGAAGCGAAAGUGACGGUACCUGCAGAAAAAGCACCGGCUAACUACGUGCCAGCAGCCGCGGUGAUACGUAGGGUGCAAGCGUUGUCCGGAAUUAUUGGGCGUAAAGAGCUCGUAGGCGGUUUGUCGCGUCCGCUGUGAGAACCCGAGGCUCAACCUCGGGCCUGCAGUGGGUACGGGCAAACUAGAGUGCGGUAGGGGAGAUUGGAAUUCCUGGUGUAGCGGCGGAAUGCGCAGAUAUCAGGAGGAACACCGAUGGCGAAGGCAGAUCUCUGGGCCGUAACUGACGCUGAGGAGCGAAAGCAUGGGGAGCGAACA
Molecule: ribosomal RNA, 407 nt
Filed under: uncultured bacterium
Lineage: Bacteria
Description: bacterial SSU rRNA
Rfam family: Bacterial small subunit ribosomal RNA
Source: RNAcentral